GGAGGCGCCAUCAUUUAGCAGUUUGCUUAUGGUCACACAGCUGCGACUGGACCCCUUGUCUGACUGCUCCUGAGCCUGCAUUCUAGAUCUUGGAAGGAGCCGAAUGUGUCUCGGGGACACGGAGAAGUCAUCUGCUCCUGCAAAGCCUCGUGUGAGAAGACGAAAGCUAGGAAGAGGCGGUGGAAAGGCACGUGCUGGCCAGGACACCAGCAGCAGCUAGGAGGGCGCUCCCUCUAAGAAAUUGUCAUCGCAUGGCCUCAAGUCCAGACCUCCCUGGGCCUCAAGUCACAGCCAAUCCCGGAAGGUGCGCCCUGCAGAGUGGGGGCAAGGUGUAGGCCUCGCUGAACUCGGGGAGGGGAGGGAGCGCGCCAGCGGGCACUGAGGUCCUUCUCCCCUCGGCGGAGCUCUCAUCCUGGUCAGGUCGGCUUGGACGCUGCUGCGGGCUCCCGCGUUCUGCGCUAGGUGGCGAAAUGCUGUGGGGCUCCCCUAUUCGGGGGAAUGCGGUAGUGAUGUAUAAGGUAUGAAAGAUGUGGCCUGCAGAGAGCCGGCACUAUCUCUACUGCUGCUGCUGCUACUGCUGCUGCCGCCGCUGCCGCCGCUGCCGCUCCUGCUGCCGGCAGAGCUGCUGGGAGUGAGCUGAGCAUCCCGCGUGCGGGGCUCCCAGCUCCGCGGCAGCUCCCGAGCCCCGGCCACCCCCGCAGCCGCCCUCCACGGCCCCGCCAGCCCCAGGGAACAAAAGCGGAACUCUGUCGCCCGCUCCUGCAGCCAGAGGAUGAGUCGAGAGGGCUGAGCGCAGAGUGUGGUCCUCAGCGGCUGGGCUGGAAGCUGCUGUCACAUAUGGUGGUGACCCAUAGGGUCUGUCGUGUUGCUGCUACUGAUGAUGACGAUAAUGAUGAUGAUCUCUUUUGACUCAUUUUUCAGCUCCUGUUCUGAAUCUUGACAUCAGAAAGCACCAAACUCUUGGAGAAUCUAUAGAACAGCAAAGCAGCCAACUGAAGAAUCAGCAACAACAACGGCAACAACAAAACAGUGGAGAAGGACAUAGAGUUUUCUAUGUUUACUUACCCAGGUAAAGUUAUUCAAGAAAGUAAUCAGCAUUAACCAUCAUGGUCUUACAAAGAAAAGUAAUCUUAAUAU
This 1137-nucleotide long non-coding RNA is filed under the name Canis lupus familiaris (dog). RNAcentral describes it as "lncRNA (ENSCAFG00000057144.1, ENSCAFG00845006993.1)". Lineage: Eukaryota; Metazoa; Chordata; Mammalia; Carnivora; Canidae. The record is from RNAcentral.